This 489-nucleotide ribosomal RNA is filed under the name uncultured bacterium. Its description in RNAcentral is "bacterial SSU rRNA". It matches the Rfam family "Bacterial small subunit ribosomal RNA", at positions 30 to 504 of the family's 1533-position model. The record is from RNAcentral.
CGAACGUUAGCGGCGGGCCUAACACAUGCAAGUCGAACGAGAAAAUCCCUUCGGGGGUGAGUACAGUGUCGCACGGGUGAGGAACGCGUAGGUAAUCUACCCUUUGGCGGGGGACAACAUUCCGAAAGGAAUGCUAAUACCGCGUAAGACCACGUUCACUACGGUGAGAGUGGUAAAAGGUGCCUCAAAGCACCACCAAAGGAUGAGCCUGCGUCCCAUCAGCUUGUUGGUAAGGUAAUGGCUUACCAAGGCUAAGACGGGUAGCUGGUCUGAGAGGAUGAUCAGCCACACUGGCACUGGAACACGGGCCAGACUCCUACGGGAGGCAGCAGUGAGGAAUAUUGGGCAAUGGGCGAAAGCCUGACCCAGCCACGCCGCGUGUGUGAUGAAGGCCUUCGGGUCGUAAAGCACUGUGGGGAGAGACGAAACAGCGCGCCAGGAAAUGGGUGCGCCUUGACGGUACCUCCUUAGCAAGCACCGGCUAACUCU